Molecule: ribosomal RNA, 1146 nt
Filed under: Triticum aestivum (bread wheat)
Lineage: Eukaryota; Viridiplantae; Streptophyta; Magnoliopsida; Poales; Poaceae
Description: partial small subunit ribosomal RNA
Source: RNAcentral
AUGUACAAUCUUAUUGACCGAGCAGAGUGGCGGAGCCAUGAACACCAUGUGGCUGAGCUCCUUCCGAGACUCAAGGACGCCGUGUAUAAUGCGGAUGACCUUCUUGAUGAGUUUAGGUGGUAUGAGAUGAAGGCUGAAUUGGAGGGCAACACAAGCAAGUCUCCUUUUAGUGACUUCAUUGGUACUCUCAUUCAUGGCAGCUUUGACAAAUUGAAGGAUGUCCGAGAAAGGAUGGAGCAUCUUUCUCGCCAGUUGAAGAGGAUGGGGUUGCAUAAAGUUAUGCAACGAUUUGACAAAUCAGUUAGGCCGGAGACUACCGCUAUGCCAGAUGAAGCAAAAAUAUUUGGUCGUGCUGAGGAGCUAAAGCAAGUGAUGGAAUUUCUCAAUGUCCCGACAAAUGCAAAACGCAAGAGAGCAAAAAGUUUAGCCAAUGCAUCAACAAGCUCAUCAGCAAACAACCAAGUUAGUAAGGAAUCAAGAAUAACAUAUCUUCCUGUUUUGCCAAUAGUUGGAAUUGGUGGUGUUGGAAAGACUACUUUGGCCCAACAUAUCUGCAGUGAUCAACAAGUGAAGUCUCACUUUGGCCUGGUAAUUUGGAUUUGUGUCUCGGAUGACUUCAACGUGAAAAGAUUAAUCAAAGAGGUUAUACAAUCAUGUCCUAGAAAAGAGGCAACAUAUGAUAGUGGAAAAGAUGCACCGGCUGAUAAUCUCAAUUCUCUUCAGCUUGCUCUUUCUAAGCAUGUAAACAAUCAAAGGGUCUUGAUUGUCCUUGAUGAUAUAUGGGAUGAUUCUUUGAAGGAAAAUAGGCAGUGCUGGAAUAGAUUUUGUGCACCUCUAAAAAGCGCCCAAGAGGGAAGCAUGAUGUUGGUCACCACUCGAUGUCCAAAUGUUGCUCAGGGAGUGGGCACAGUGAAGCCUAUUAUAUUAGUAGGGUUGAAAGAUGAUGUCUUCUGGAAUUUCUUCAAAUUAUGUGUUUUUGGGUCUGAAAGUUCUAGCAAUAAUCCAAAGUUAGAACUCAUUGGUAGAAGCAUACUUCCUAAAUUGAAGGGUUCUCCAUUAGCCGCCAAAACUCUUGGACGCAUGUUAAGAAUGGACCUUCAAGAAACACAUUGGGAGAGUAUACUUCAUAGUGAAUUGUGGGACUGA